RNAcentral lists this ribosomal RNA (732 nucleotides) under uncultured Staphylococcus sp. RNAcentral's name for it is "bacterial SSU rRNA". It matches the Rfam family "Bacterial small subunit ribosomal RNA", at positions 60 to 774 of the family's 1533-position model. The record is from RNAcentral. Lineage: Bacteria; Bacillati; Bacillota; Bacilli; Caryophanales; Staphylococcaceae.
AGUCGAGCGAACAGACGAGGAGCUUGCUCCUCUGACGUUAGCGGCGGACGGGUGAGUAACACGUGGAUAACCUACCUAUAAGACUGGGAUAACUUCGGGAAACCGGAGCUAAUACCGGAUAACAUGUUGAACCGCAUGGUUCAACAGUGAAAGACGGUCUUGCUGUCACUUAUAGAUGGAUCCGCGCCGCAUUAGCUAGUUGGUAAGGUAACGGCUUACCAAGGCAACGAUGCGUAGCCGACCUGAGAGGGUGAUCGGCCACACUGGAACUGAGACACGGUCCAGACUCCUACGGGAGGCAGCAGUAGGGAAUCUUCCGCAAUGGGCGAAAGCCUGACGGAGCAACGCCGCGUGAGUGAAGAAGGUCUUCGGAUCGUAAAACUCUGUUAUUAGGGAAGAACAAAUGUGUAAGUAACUAUGCACGUCUUGACGGUACCUAAUCAGAAAGCCACGGCUAACUACGUGCCAGCAGCCGCGGUAAUACGUAGGUGGCAAGCGUUAUCCGGAAUUAUUGGGCGUAAAGCGCGCGUAGGCGGUUUUUUAAGUCUGAUGUGAAAGCCCACGGCUCAACCGUGGAGGGUCAUUGGAAACUGGAAAACUUGAGUGCAGAAGAGGAAAGUGGAAUUCCAUGUGUAGCGGUGAAAUGCGCAGAGAUAUGGAGGAACACCAGUGGCGAAGGCGACUUUCUGGUCUGUAACUGACGCUGAUGUGCGAAAGCGUGGGGAUCAAACA